CACGUAGGGUGCGAGCGUUGUCCGGAAUUAUUGGGCGUAAAGAGCUCGUAGGCGGUGUGUCGCGUCGGCCGUGAAAACCUGCAGCUUAACUGUGGGCUUGCGGUCGAUACGGGCAUCACUGGAGUUCGGCAGGGGAGACUGGAAUUCCUGGUGUAGCGGUGAAAUGCGCAGAUAUCAGGAGGAACACCGGGGGCGAAGGCGGGUCUCUGGGCCGAUACUGACGCUGAGGAGCGAAAGCGUGGGGAGCAAACAGG
This 254-nucleotide ribosomal RNA is filed under the name uncultured bacterium. Its description in RNAcentral is "partial 16S ribosomal RNA". It matches the Rfam family "Bacterial small subunit ribosomal RNA", at positions 524 to 776 of the family's 1533-position model. The record is from RNAcentral.